This is a long non-coding RNA of Anas platyrhynchos (mallard), 2749 nucleotides long. RefSeq lists it as uncharacterized. NCBI's taxonomy places the organism in Eukaryota, Metazoa, Chordata, Aves, Anseriformes, Anatidae. The record is from RefSeq and is a predicted model, not a curated record.
GGAGGGUCGCGGAGCGGCCCCGGUGACGGGCAGGCCGGGAAGCCUAUGGGGAGAGCGGGGGCGGGGCGGAGCUGCCCGCCCGCUGGAGCUGGUGCCGUGGCGGGGCCGCGUCUGGCCGGCGGGCGGGGCCGCCAGCAGGGCGGCGGGGGGCCGCGGCGGAGCGGUGCUGCGGGCAGCGCGCCCUGGGGACGGCCCCGCGGCUGCCGCGGCUCCCGGGCCCCUGUGGCGUCGGAAAGCGCAGACGCUGGCCGUGACCGCUAGCGCAGCCUUGAGUCGCGUUUGUCCCAAAUCUGCUUUACCCGACUUUUGAGGGGCAGCGCGCUUUGUGCCGCGUGGUUUUGCUUCCUUGCUCGUUUGUUUCUAAGAAUUCAUUUGCGGUAGCUUAUCAGCAUUUCAGACACGCACACCAUGUAGAGAUUUAACUUGUCUUUGAGAAAAUGAAAGGCUACAGCAGAGAGUAAGGCAAUAAUCUACUAUUCACAUCCAUAAUGGAGGGGACAAGAUGUCAUCAGUUUAAACUGCAGUGAGAAAAAUGCGGAUCAGGUGUUAAGAAAAUGCUACUGACAAAGUCGCUAUGGCACUAGACUGCCUGAUGGAAAGAUGAGUGUGGAGUCUUCAUUGGUUGGAGUUUUAAAGCCAAGCCUCUUCAAUGUGACAAUUCACUGCAUCUUGGAAUAAAAGAGAAAAAAUCUUCACCGUUCAAUACUGUCUUCACAUCCUGGAACCUCGUUCUUGCAAAAUCUGAAAGAGACCAACAGUUUUAUAAAUGAAAAUUCUCUGAAUGUCAUUCUUAAAGAAUGGAGGACAAAGAACAACAUAACGACUAUUUCAAAAAAAAAAAAAAAAAAAAGGUAAUUUUUAAAGAAGCUGGUUCAAGGACAUUCUUGAAGCUUUUGCUUUAAGAUUGAAAAAGAAGGAUUAAUACAUACAAUGUUUUACUAUCAAACAUCAUGAAAACUAAUGUACAUCACUGCUAGUAACUGAGUCUGAUUAAUAUAACCAAAGCUUAAGGGCUGGAAGACAGAAGUAGUAAGCCAUUUUACUUCAUCCUUGUUCUAAAGAUACUUAAGUCCCAUAUAGUAAAUGAACCAGAUACAUUUUAAAACUUGGGAUUUAAUCUUAAAUUUUUCCUAUUGCAGUAAAUGUCCUUAACUCUCUCAAAUUUCAGCUGCAAUUGUAUUCCUUGAAAACGUAAUUAGCAACCUAAAAUGCGCACAAAUGUCAUACUGGGUGAGAUGAUGCGUACAGCUUUCAAAGACCAACAGUAUGAGUUGACAAGAACUAACCUGACAUUUGAAAUAGAUGUCCAGACUUGAUCUUUAGCAUGAACUAAAAUCAGCCAACAAGAUUUCUUCAUAGUAAAAAGUUUUAGUAAUUUUUUUUUUACAGUGGAGUUCAGAUAUACAAAGCUCAUCAGUUGGACUCACCGCCUACAGGACAGUAAAUCCUACUUUGACAACAGUUUUAAAAUAAUUUUACAUUAAUAUUAUUUGUUCAUGGUAGAUCUCACAAGUUUGUUAAGCAUCCCUUCCAGUCCACAAGAAAAUUGCUUCUGCAGAGACAGGACAUAGCACAUUGCACUUUUCAUGCACUACCCUAUCCAUCAUUAUCCUUUGAAUCACCCAAGCCAGGCAGCUGAGAGGCGUUGCAGCCUUUGACUUCAUGAGAAGGAAUAUAUUUCUCAAAAAUUUUGUCUAAGGAAUUUGCUUCUCCCACUGUUACCAAGGAACUGAGAUUCCCAUUACAGUGAAUAAGAUGAUUUGGUUUUCCCCUAAAGGCAGUUGACUUGUUUAAUAGGUAUAUAUUAAAUAUAGGGAAUGAAGUCUAAUGAAACCAAAUUAUCUGCCCCUGAAGAACCUAGGAAACCUUGUAUAUAGCAUCCUAUAACACAAAGACUAUGUAUUCUAUUUUGAUUUUUUAUUUUCCCCUUUUCAACCUUCUUCAGCACCUCCAGUGAAGAAAGGAUCCAUGUCUUAGGACUGACUGUGCAGGCCACUGUGUUUCUCACAGUUCUACUCUAAACUGAAUACUGCAAUCAGCAGUAAUGACAUCAGCUCUGAAGCUGCUUUUGUGUACCCACAGGGAAGCCUGCAAGCAAACGGUAGAACCAGUGAUGACCAUGGCCAAAAAAAGACUAAGCAAAGCUUCAAAUGUACUUAGCACAAGUACUUUAUCAGCAAAUAAAAUUAUCUCUAAUUCAUUUUCUUUUACUUCCUGGUUGUUUUCCAAGUACUGAGAAGAGCUCUUCAAAACCUGGCAGAAACCAAAGGCACAGUCCCUGGGAAAUGGCAUAGCUGUCUUCAAUGUAGAGUUUCUUUCUAUGAUGAUUUCAAUUUAAUCUCAUAUUAUGACAAACACCUCAUGCUAGUAGCACUCAGUAGCACAUUCUACCCCCAGAGGAUUCACUGAAUUUGACAGUACACACGAUCUUUGUGCCUGUUGGGUAAAAACUGUCACACCAAAAAUUAACAGAGCAUGCCAAUUUCAUGUUUGGUUUUAAAUGAAAAAGUCUAGGUAUUUGGUUUCCUUUUAGUAUUGUUAAAACGUUGAUAAUUUACCGUAUCAGCCUCUUAUCAGUCAUUAAGUCUAAAGUCAUUCACACAGGCUAUAGUCAAGUAGGGUCUCACCUGCUUUGCACAAUGCCAUGGGAUUUUUUUAAGGACUGGAGUUCAUAAAGACUCCAUCACCAUUUGUAUGCUCUUCUCAAGGACAGUUCAGAGACAGUUCAGGGUUAACUUAGAAAAAAAAA